CAUUAAAACAAAGAAGAAGGAUAUGAAAUGCCGCGUUCCUGUUGUAUUCGUAUCUAAAAAACGGAUGAAAUGGAAAACCAAAGAGCGCUCUCUCUCUCUAAAACUCUAACGAGGCAUCGUCAUCGUCCAAAAAAGAAAGAGCGAAAAAACCUUCUCGUGUAACGUAUUUGUUCCUGUUGUUCUCGUUAUCUCGCAUUCGGACGUGUAUCU
This 210-nucleotide non-coding RNA is filed under the name Bathycoccus prasinos. Lineage: Eukaryota; Viridiplantae; Chlorophyta; Mamiellophyceae; Mamiellales; Bathycoccaceae. The record is from RNAcentral.